Leucoraja erinaceus (little skate) is the source of this 1560-nucleotide long non-coding RNA. RefSeq lists it as uncharacterized. Lineage: Eukaryota; Metazoa; Chordata; Chondrichthyes; Rajiformes; Rajidae. The record is from RefSeq and is a predicted model, not a curated record. The transcript has 3 exons.
CAAGUGGAAUAGGAGGUGCUGCUACUCCAGUUUACACGUGGCUUCACUCUGGCAAUGGAGGAGGCCCAGGACAGAGUGGUCACUCUUUGAAUGGGAAGGGAGUUAAAAUAAUGAGCAACAAACCAGUAGGCCUUGGCAGACAGUUCAUGCUCGGUCUCACGAUGGAGGCGAGGGAGGAGAUGUAGGGACAGUUGUCUGUAAUUGCAGGGGAAGGUACCUGGGGAGGUGGGGGGGGCUUGGUUGAGUGGGGACAAGAAGAGGUGAAUGCAGGUGAGUGGGGCUUUUGAUGAGUGGAGUAAAUGACAAAGAGAUGAAAAGGAGACAAAAGGGGUGUCAGAUGAUAUCAUUGAGUCAUAAUAUGAUACAGCGUGGAAACAGGCCCUUCGGCCCUACAUGUCCCAGCUACACCACUCCCACCUCUGCGUUUGGUCCAUAUCCCUCCAAACCGGUCGUGUCCAUUUCUUAAACUUUGUGAUAGUCCCUGCCCCGACUACCGCCCCUGUCACCUUGUUCCAUACACCCACCACCCUCCCUUUGUGUGAAAAACUUACCCCUUAGAUUUCUAUUAAAGCUUUUCCACUUCCCCUAAAACCUAUUGCCCUUCUCGUUGUAUUCAUAAAGUAACAAGGUACUGGCUGUAGAAGGGUGUGGAAUCGAAAAAUCGCCUGUUCAUUCCCUCCACAGAUGCUGUCUGACCCGCUGAGUUCCCCGGGCACUGUGUGUUUUAAUUUAAGCCUCUGCUCCGCAGUUUUGAAUGGUAAACCCCACGGCUGUGUGUAAGAUACACGUGUUUGCCUGCAAGUUAGCGACGGCUUAGACUCCGCCAGGACCGAAAGAACCUCGGAUCUUCCGCCUCCGACCUCCCCCGGCGUGCAUGUGCCUUUAAAUAAUGUUCUCCUUCUGUCGUAAGAAGAUGCUGCCUGACCCGCUGAGAUCCUCCAGCAUUUUGUGUUUUGAAAGGAAGAGAAGAUGUUCUAAAUGUAGCAAAUCGCAAAAGAAUGGUAAUGAGGAACCAUCAAUACCAGACGUCGGUCAGGAAUGCAAAGGACAUUGCUCGUGUUGGUUAGAACAUGGAAGUCAUUGCCACAGUAAAGGCUGAGACAAAGGAAACACGGUGACCAAUAAAUACACAGUUAUAAUUACUGGCCUGCAGCAGCUUCUUCCCAACGACCAUCAAACUAUUGAACACUGCAAACUCCAAAUAAACUGCGAACUGUGAACCGCCUGCAUUGCACUGGGGACUUUGGGCUUUGUUUUUUUUGCACGGUAUUGGUUUUAUUAUUUGUUGAACUUUUUCUCUCUCUGUUUACAAUACUUUCUAUUGAGUACUGUGUUUAUAAACCUCUUGUGCUGCUGCCACUCGUAAGAAUUUCAUUGUUCCGUUUCGUUACAUAUGGUCACAAGUGAUAGGAGCAGAAUUAGGCCAUUCUGCCCAGCAAGUCAACUCCGACAUAUAAUCAUGGCUGAUCUAUCUCUCCCUCCUAACCCCAUUCUACUGCCUUCUCCCCACAACCUAUGACAGCCAUACUAAUCAAGAAUCUAUCUAAAGGGCCUGUCCCA